AGUGGCGCACGGGUGAGUAACGCGUAGAUAAUCUACCUGAUGAUCCGGGAUAACACUUCGAAAGGGGUGCUAAUACCUGAUAAGCCCACGGGGUCUUCGGACUCUGCGGGAAAAGGGGGGGACCUUUACCGGCCUUCCGUCAUCAGAUGAGUCUGCGUACCAUUAGCUAGUUGGUAGGGUAAAGGCCUACCAAGGCGACGAUGGUUAGCUGGUCUGAGAGGAUGAUCAGCCACACUGGAACUGAGACACGGUCCAGACUCCUACGGGAGGCAGCAGUGGGGAAUUUUGCGCAAUGGGGGAAACCCUGACGCAGCAACGCCGCGUGAGUGAUGAAGGCCCUUGGGUCGUAAAGCUCUGACAGAGGGAAAGAAGUGUAGAGUGGCUAAUAUCCACAUUACUUGACGGUACCCUCAAAGGAAGCACCGGCUAACUCCGUGCCAGCAGCCGCGGUAAUACGGGGGGUGCAAGCGUUGUUCGGAUUUAUUGGGCGUAAAGCGCGUGUAGGCGGUUUUAUAAGUCUGAUGUGAAAGCCCUGGGCUCAACCCGGGAAGUGCAUUGGAUACUGUAAGACUUGAAUACGGGAGAGGGCAGUGGAAUUCCUAGUGUAGGAGUGAAAUCCGUAGAUAUUAGGAGGAACACCGGUGGCGAAGGCGGCUGCCUGGACCGAUAUUGACGCUGAGACGCGAAAGCGUGGGUAGCAAACAGGAUUAGAUACCCUGGUAGUCCACGCCGUAAACGAUGAGAACUAGGUGUUGCGGGUAUUGACCCCUGCAGUGCCGUAGCUAACGCAUUAA
Molecule: ribosomal RNA, 794 nt
Filed under: uncultured bacterium
Lineage: Bacteria
Description: bacterial SSU rRNA
Rfam family: Bacterial small subunit ribosomal RNA
Source: RNAcentral